RNAcentral lists this ribosomal RNA (839 nucleotides) under uncultured Alteromonas sp. RNAcentral's name for it is "bacterial SSU rRNA". It matches the Rfam family "Bacterial small subunit ribosomal RNA", at positions 8 to 833 of the family's 1533-position model. Lineage: Bacteria; Pseudomonadati; Pseudomonadota; Gammaproteobacteria; Alteromonadales; Alteromonadaceae. The record is from RNAcentral.
AGAGUUUGAUCCUGGCUCAGAUUGAACGCUGGCGGCAGGCUUAACACAUGCAAGUCGAGCGGAAACGAGAAUAGCUUGCUAUUCGGCGUCGAGCGGCGGACGGGUGAGUAAUGCUUGGGAAUAUGCCUUAAGGUGGGGGACAACAGUUGGAAACGACUGCUAAUACCGCAUAAUGUCUACGGACCAAAGGAGGGGAUUCUUCGGAACCUUUCGCCUUUUGAUUAGCCCAAGUGAGAUUAGCUAGUAGGUAAGGUAAUGGCUUACCUAGGCGACGAUCUCUAGCUGGUUUGAGAGGAUGAUCAGCCACACUGGGACUGAGACACGGCCCAGACUCCUACGGGAGGCAGCAGUGGGGAAUAUUGCACAAUGGGCGAAAGCCUGAUGCAGCCAUGCCGCGUGUGUGAAGAAGGCCUUCGGGUUGUAAAGCACUUUCAGCGAGGAGGAUAGGGUAUAGAUUAAUACUCUAUAUCUGUGACGUUACUCGCAGAAGAAGCACCGGCUAACUUCGUGCCAGCAGCCGCGGUAAUACGAGGGGUGCAAGCGUUAAUCGGAAUUACUGGGCGUAAAGCGUGCGUAGGCGGUUUGUUAAGCAAGAUGUGAAAGCCCCCGGGCUCAACCUGGGAACUGCAUUUUGAACUGGCAAGCUAGAAUCUUGUAGAGGGUAGUGGAAUUUCCAGUGUAGCGGUGAAAUGCGUAGAGAUUGGAAGGAACAUCAGUGGCGAAGGCGGCUACCUGGGACAAAGAUUGACGCUGAGGCACGAAAGCGUGGGGAGCAAACAGGAUUAGAUACCCCCGGUAGUCCACGCCGUAAACGAUGUCAACUAGCCGUCUGUGGUCUU